RNAcentral lists this unclassified non-coding RNA (205 nucleotides) under uncultured fungus. Its description in RNAcentral is "sequence contains ITS1, 5.8S rRNA gene". The record is from RNAcentral. Lineage: Eukaryota; Fungi.
CCGAUUCAUUGGAUGUGCUGGCUAACGUGCGUUAGUAUUGUGCACUCCAAACCUCCUACCCCUGUGCACUAUUCCCAUUAGCAAUUUGAAAAUAACUAGAAGUCUGCAAAGAUUUCAAAGUAAAUUCAUUUAGCUUUUGGUUUUUAUAUACACUGUUAUUAUGAAUGUAUCAUAGGCUUGUUAAUUCAAGUCAAUAUUAUUAAAA